GACGAACGCUGGCGGCGUGCUUAACACAUGCAAGUCGAACGGAAAGGCCCUGCUUUUGUGGGGUGCUCGAGUGGCGAACGGGUGAGUAACACGUGAGUAACCUGCCCUUGACUUUGGGAUAACUUCAGGAAACUGGGGCUAAUACCGGAUAGGAGCUCCUGCUGCAUGGUGGGGGUUGGAAAGUUUCGGCGGUUGGGGAUGGACUCGCGGCUUAUCAGCCUGUUGGUGGGGUAGUGGCUUACCAAGGCUUUGACGGGUAGCCGGCCUGAGAGGGUGACCGGCCACAUUGGGACUGAGAUACGGCCCAGACUCCUACGGGAGGCAGCAGUGGGGAAUAUUGCACAAUGGGCGGAAGCCUGAUGCAGCAACGCCGCGUGCGGGAUGACGGCCUUCGGGUUGUAAACCGCUUUCGCCUGUGACGAAGCGUGGGUGACGGUAAUGGGUAAAGAAGCACCGGCUAACUACGUG
This 468-nucleotide ribosomal RNA is filed under the name uncultured bacterium. RNAcentral describes it as "partial 16S ribosomal RNA". It matches the Rfam family "Bacterial small subunit ribosomal RNA", at positions 28 to 507 of the family's 1533-position model. The record is from RNAcentral.